Molecule: RNA transcript, 1036 nt
Organism: Solanum stenotomum
Lineage: Eukaryota; Viridiplantae; Streptophyta; Magnoliopsida; Solanales; Solanaceae
Exons: 10
Source: RefSeq, a predicted model, not a curated record
UUGUUGGAUUAUACCAAGUGCUAAGACAGGGGUUCUUGGUUUUGGACUUUUGGCAUUUUGGUGGUUGUGCUUGUGUUAAUAUGGAUGAAGAAUAUAACAAGCUUGGUGAAGCCGGCCAUCGAUCUUAACAUCAGGACAAUUUUAUGAUCAACAAUCAUCAUCAAUAGAGACUUGCUCAUCUUCUUCAACUGAAUUUUAAACUCUGAAUUUCCACUUCAUUGCGGUUGUUGUUUGCUCCAGUGUUUCACUUUUCUCUAAGUGUGUGAUAGUUCAACAUGGCGGAAAGAUAUACCAUCAAUAUAAUCACUCCCAAUACUAAAGAUUGGACCUGUAAAGUCCAAGUUGUUGAUAAAAGUCGACCAAGGGACAACAAAGAUAAAACCACAAAAUACCAAGUCUUAAUUCUACAAGAUGAAGAGGAGAAUCAAGUUCAGGCCACUAUUUACAGUACUGAUAUAACAUAUUUUGAAAAAGAAUUUGCUCCUUUCAAGACUUACUUGGUAUCUGUUGCACAAGUGAAAGUACCACCUCUUGGAUAUGAAAAUUCGCUUAACAAAUUCAUUUGGAAACUUGAUAAAAACGCCAUUGUUGAACCAGUUGAAGAGGUCAAACCUCCACAGGAUCCAUUACCACCACCAACACGACUAGCUCUUACCACAUUUGACACUUUUGAGAAUCAACCCAAAGAAUUUGAAUUUGAUGUACUCGCCAUUGUCAUUAAUGGUAGUCCUUCAACAAAGACUACAACUGGAAAGCGAAUUCAAGAGUUUAUUGUCAUGGGCAAGCUGAAAAAACCAACAAAACCGACACUUUGGGAGGAUUUUAUUGAUCAUGAGGGAGUUAAACUUUUCAACUAACUUCAUGAUUACCCGAUCAUUCUUGCUAGGAAAAUUGGGAAAUCAUCCUAAGGAACGUCGAAUAGAUUUGUUGGUUUGACGAGCAAAUUCAAUACAACAAUUGAAAUCAAUCCUCCAUAUCCACAAGCUGCUGAGUUAAGGACGUGGAUCAAACCAAUUGAAACAAAGCUUGUUUCUUA